RNAcentral lists this unclassified non-coding RNA (240 nucleotides) under Glomus sp. RNAcentral describes it as "partial contains 5.8S ribosomal RNA and internal transcribed spacer 2". The stretch from base 1 to 65 matches the Rfam family "5.8S ribosomal RNA", at positions 84 to 154 of the family's 154-position model. The record is from RNAcentral. Lineage: Eukaryota; Fungi; Glomeromycota; Glomeromycetes; Glomerales; Glomeraceae.
GUGAAUCAUCGAAUUUUUGAACGCAAAUUGCACUCUCCUCGGAGAGUAUGCCUGUUUGAGGGUCAGCCUAAAAAAAAUCGACAUAGUUGCUGUUUCGCGGUGACAUUCGGCGGUAAUUGUGUCAUCUUAAACCUUUUGGUUUUAAGCUGCUUAAAAUUUUCUUUUCGAUUCCACGGACGUUUCUAAGAUUUUACUUCUUACACUUUUAAUGUAUCAAUCUUUAUUAGACAUUUCCGUUGC